UUGCUGCAUAUACCAUAGACCAUAGACCUGAAAAAUAUCAACCCAAAUUAUUAGUAGCUGAAAUCCCAUCAAAUUUCAGUAAAUUUGAAUGCUAUGCAAAUUGGUUAAGUUAAAACCAAGGUACACUUCAAUAGCCAUGAAAGAACAUGGAACUUACAAAAAGGCUUGAGUUGUCAUUUCUCAAUGUUUUUGCAUUACCAAAUGCUUCUAGGAUAGGAUUGGUCUUCAAGAUUUCAUACUCUAUUCCACUCCCACCACCAAGAACUGCCAAAUAUUGCAUUGCUAUCUUUGCUGUCUCAGUUUUUGUGCCCACUUUUUGUGCCCAACCUAGCAUUGAAC
This 339-nucleotide long non-coding RNA is filed under the name Gossypium barbadense (sea-island cotton). Its description in RNAcentral is "long non-coding RNA (GBAR_LNC020190)". Lineage: Eukaryota; Viridiplantae; Streptophyta; Magnoliopsida; Malvales; Malvaceae. The record is from RNAcentral.